UUGAGGCUCAUUUGAUACCUUGGACCAUUGAUGAGUUAAAGCCAUUUAGCCAACAAAUGUGUUCCAUACUGUAUCAGCAUAAUUUACAGCUGAAUCUAGUCCCACCCUCAAUUAAUUAUGUCUACCAAAUAAUAACACCUCUAUCCAUAUAAACACUUACAAAACUCAAUGUCACAAGCAAUAAAUAACACAAGACAUCUUUUAUCCAUGAAACAAGAAACAGCAUACAAAACAGCACUGUGUACCAAGCCAUUUAGAGUGGAUUACACUAUCGAAAUAGGACACAAAUGACCUAAAAUAAUAGUUAACUCCAGGAGAAUAAAGGAAGCUUCCAGUGACAUAAAGUAGAAGUUUAAGUUAAAACAGCAGUCAGCUCAGUUUUCCAUCUUGAUUUGCUGUAUAUUUUUUUCCUAUAUUAGUCUCUCAUAUGAAAACUCCUUUUUUAAUGCUCAGAUAGGGUCAGAGGGUCAAGCACAGGUUGGUAGAGCGCAAGCUUCAGUAUUGCCUCAAGUCUUUGUACCUGCCAGGAGGCACAACAGCUGGACUGCUUCUGCUGAGACCCACCACAGGUGAACUCUGGUUGCAGGUGUGCUGUGGAGCCUAUGCUGGCAGGUUCUCUGGCUCCGUGCAUUCGCUGUCGAUUCUUGGCCUCCCCCAGUCGCUUCGGAUCUGGGGUCUGAUUUGGAGUUUUUCCUCAGAUGGCGCCUGUUGCGCGGAACAGCUGACCAAAUGGCGUGAGUGCGUUGUAUGAGCGGAGCUCA
Molecule: long non-coding RNA, 761 nt
Organism: Anguilla rostrata (American eel)
Lineage: Eukaryota; Metazoa; Chordata; Actinopteri; Anguilliformes; Anguillidae
Exons: 2
Source: RefSeq, a predicted model, not a curated record